This 393-nucleotide ribosomal RNA is filed under the name uncultured bacterium. RNAcentral's name for it is "bacterial SSU rRNA". It matches the Rfam family "Bacterial small subunit ribosomal RNA", at positions 28 to 433 of the family's 1533-position model. The record is from RNAcentral.
GAUGAACGCUGGCGGCGUGCCUAACACAUGCAAGUCGAACGGUCCUUCGGGACAGUGGCGCACGGGUGAGUAACACGUAGCUAACCUGCCUUCGAGAGGGGGAUAACGCCCCGAAAGGGGUGCUAAUACCGCGUACGCUCGCGCGAUGUAGAGGCGCGCGAGGAAAGGCGCAAGCCGCUCGAAGAGGGGGCUGCGGCCCAUCAGGUAGUUGGUAGGGUAAUGGCCUACCAAGCCAACGACGGGUAGGGGGUCUGAGAGGAUGGUCCCCCACACUGGGACUGAGACACGGCCCAGACUCCUACGGGAGGCAGCAGUGAGGGAUCUUGCACAAUGGGGGAAACCCUGAUGCAGCGACGCCGCGUGGGCGAAGAAGGCCUUCGGGUCGUAAAGCCC